Non-coding RNA from Triticum urartu, 197 nucleotides. The record is from Rfam. Lineage: Eukaryota; Viridiplantae; Streptophyta; Magnoliopsida; Poales; Poaceae.
AUACCUUUCUCGGCCUUUUGGCUAAAAUCAAGUGUAGUAUCUGUUCUUAUCAGUUUAAUAUCUGAUAUAUGGACUACAUGUACACAACGAUAUUAAAUUUAUUUUUUGUGGGGGAGAAUCCAUCUUAGUGGCUUGCCACUAGGGUCCUCGCGUGUUCGUCGGGCGUUGCACUAUAGCCCGGGUGUGGCGCGCCCCAC